RNAcentral lists this ribosomal RNA (233 nucleotides) under uncultured bacterium. Its description in RNAcentral is "partial 16S ribosomal RNA". It matches the Rfam family "Bacterial small subunit ribosomal RNA", at positions 103 to 334 of the family's 1533-position model. The record is from RNAcentral.
CGGGUGAGUAACGCGUGAGGAACCUGCCUCAAAGAGGGGGACAACAGUUGGAAACGACUGCUAAUACCGCAUAAGCCCACAGCUCGGCAUCGAGCAGAGGGAAAAGGAGUGAUCCGCUUUGAGGUGGCCUCGCGUCCGAUUAGCUAGUUGGUGAGGUAAUGGCCCACCAAGGCGACGAUCGGUAGCCGGACUGAGAGGUUGAACGGCCACAUUGGGACUGAGACACGGCCCAG